RNAcentral lists this long non-coding RNA (279 nucleotides) under Lathyrus oleraceus (garden pea). RNAcentral's name for it is "Pisum sativum (pea) long non-coding RNA (PSAT_LNC024412)". The record is from RNAcentral. Lineage: Eukaryota; Viridiplantae; Streptophyta; Magnoliopsida; Fabales; Fabaceae.
UUUUAAUUUCUGUUUUAUUUUUUCUUUUAUUCCAUUUAUUUUCAAAAUCUCAUAACUCCUUUAUUUGGGAUCACAAAAAUAUGGGACCAAUUGCAAAAAAAUUCUCUUAAAUUCUAGUUUCAUAAUAUGAUUUUUAAUUAUUUUGUGAUUCCAUUUAAUAUUUUUUGUGAAUUAUUUUGUUUUUGAUAGUUUUUAAUUCAUUUAAAAUACCUUUUGAUAUUCAAAAAUGCCAAAAAUAUUUUCUUAACAUGUAGGAAUGAUGAUAAGUCAAUGAAAAAU